GAUGAACGCUGGCGGUAUGCCUAACACAUGCAAGUCGUACGAGAGUUUUUAACUCUAGUGGCGGACGGGUGAGUAACACGUGAGAAUUUGCCUUUAGGAGGGGGAUAACAAUUGGAAACGAAUGCUAAUACCCCAUAUGCUUUUGAGUGAAAUGGAUUUUAUCCGCCUAGAGAGAAGCUCGCGGCUGAUUAGCUUGUUGGUAAGGUAAGAGCUUACCAAGGCGACGAUCAGUAUCUGGUUUGAGAGGACGAUCAGACACACUGGAACUGAGACACGGUCCAGACUCCUACGGGAGGCAGCAGUGGGGAAUUUUCCGCAAUGGGCGAAAGCCUGACGGAGCAAUACCGCGUGAGGGAAGAAUGCCUAUGGGUUGUAAACCUCUUUUUUCAGGGAGGAUAAAAUGACGUGUACCUGAAGAAUAAGCAUCGGCUAACUCCGUG
This 440-nucleotide ribosomal RNA is filed under the name uncultured bacterium. RNAcentral describes it as "bacterial SSU rRNA". It matches the Rfam family "Bacterial small subunit ribosomal RNA", at positions 28 to 507 of the family's 1533-position model. The record is from RNAcentral.